GUGCAGCAGCCGCGGUAAAACCAGCACCUCAAGUGGUCAGGAUGAUUAUUGGGCCUAAAGCAUCCGUAGCCGGCUCUGUAAGUUUUCGGUUAAAUCUGUACGCUCAACGUACAGGCUGCCGGGAAUACUGUAGCGCUAGGGAGUGGGAGAGGUAGACGGUACUCGGUAGGAAGGGGUAAAAUCCUUUGAUCUAUUGAUGACCAUCUGUGGCGAAGGCGGUCUACCAGAACACGUCCGACGGUGAGGGAUGAAAGCUGGGGGAGCAAACCGGAUUAGAUA
RNAcentral lists this ribosomal RNA (279 nucleotides) under uncultured bacterium. RNAcentral describes it as "partial 16S ribosomal RNA". It matches the Rfam family "Archaeal small subunit ribosomal RNA", at positions 455 to 735 of the family's 1478-position model. The record is from RNAcentral.